This 253-nucleotide ribosomal RNA is filed under the name uncultured bacterium. RNAcentral describes it as "partial 16S ribosomal RNA". It matches the Rfam family "Bacterial small subunit ribosomal RNA", at positions 524 to 776 of the family's 1533-position model. The record is from RNAcentral.
UACAGAGGAUGCAAGCGUUAUCCGGAAUGAUUGGGCGUAAAGCGUCUGUAGGUGGCUUUUUAAGUCCGCCGUCAAAUCCCAGGGCUCAACUCUGGACAGGCGGUGGAAACUACCAAGCUGGAGUACGGUAGGGGCAGAGGGAAUUCCCGGUGUAGUGGUGAAAUGCGUAGAGAUCGGGAGGAACACCUGUGGCGAAGGCGGCCGACUGGGCCGACCCUGACGCUGAGGCGCGAAGGCGUGGGGAGCGAACGGG